UAAUACGUAGGGUGCGAGCGUUAAUCGGAAUUACUGGGCGUAAAGCGUGCGCAGGCGGUUUGGUAAGACAGGCGUGAAAUCCCCGGGCUUAACCUGGGAACUGCGCUUGUGACUGCCAGGCUAGAGUACGGCAGAGGGGGGUGGAAUUCCACGUGUAGCAGUGAAAUGCGUAGAGAUGUGGAGGAACACCAAUGGCGAAGGCAGCCCCCUGGGUCGAUACUGACGCUCAUGCACGAAAGCGUGGGUAGCAAACAGG
RNAcentral lists this ribosomal RNA (256 nucleotides) under uncultured bacterium. Its description in RNAcentral is "partial 16S ribosomal RNA". It matches the Rfam family "Bacterial small subunit ribosomal RNA", at positions 521 to 776 of the family's 1533-position model. The record is from RNAcentral.